Molecule: transfer RNA, 88 nt
Filed under: Ignicoccus hospitalis KIN4/I
Lineage: Archaea; Thermoproteati; Thermoproteota; Thermoprotei; Desulfurococcales; Desulfurococcaceae
Rfam family: tRNA
About the family: Transfer RNA (tRNA) molecules are approximately 80 nucleotides in length. Their secondary structure includes four short double-helical elements and three loops (D, anti-codon, and T loops). Further hydrogen bonds mediate the characteristic L-shaped molecular structure. tRNAs have two regions of fundamental functional importance: the anti-codon, which is responsible for specific mRNA codon recognition, and the 3' end, to which the tRNAs corresponding amino acid is attached (by aminoacyl-tRNA synthetases). tRNAs cope with the degeneracy of the genetic code in two manners: having more than one tRNA (with a specific anti-codon) for a particular amino acid; and 'wobble' base-pairing, i.e. permitting non-standard base-pairing at the 3rd anti-codon position.
Source: Rfam by way of RNAcentral
GCCGCCGUAGCUCAGCCCGGCAGAGCGCCGGCCUCGUACGGCCCUCCGAGAGAGCCGGUGGUCGCGGGUUCAAAUCCCGCCGGCGGCU